This 378-nucleotide unclassified non-coding RNA is filed under the name uncultured delta proteobacterium. Its description in RNAcentral is "contains 16S-23S intergenic spacer region". Lineage: Bacteria; Deltaproteobacteria. The record is from RNAcentral.
UCUGGCUUAUAGCCAAGCGGUCUCACUAGAGUGCCCAACUUAAUGAUGGUAACUAGUGACACGGGUUGCGCUCGUUGCGGGACUUAACCCAACAUCUCACAACACGAGCUGACGACAGCCAUGCAGCACCUGUCUCGGCGUCCCCGAAGGGAACCCCUACUUUCAUAGGGUAGCGCCGGAUGUCAAGUCUGGGUAAGGUUUUUCGCGUAGCAUCGAAUUGAACCACAUACUCCACCGCUUGUGCGGGCCCCCGUCAAUUUCUUUGAGUUUUAAUCUUGCGACCGUACUUCCCAGGCGGGGUACUUAAUGCGUUAGCUGCGACACCGAUACAAUUAGGUAUACCGACGUCUAGUACCCAUCGUUUAGGGCGUGGACUAC